RNAcentral lists this ribosomal RNA (819 nucleotides) under Pestalotiopsis guepinii. Its description in RNAcentral is "eukaryotic LSU rRNA". It matches the Rfam family "Eukaryotic large subunit ribosomal RNA", at positions 98 to 942 of the family's 3401-position model. Lineage: Eukaryota; Fungi; Ascomycota; Sordariomycetes; Amphisphaeriales; Sporocadaceae. The record is from RNAcentral.
GCGGCAACAGCUCAAAUUUGAAAUCUGGCCCUCGGGUCCGAAUUGUAAUUUGUAGAGGAUGAUUUUGGUGCGGUAUCUUCCGAGUUCCUUGGAACAGGACGCCUUAGAGGGUGAGAGCCCCGUACGGUUGAAUGCCUAGCCUCUGUAAAUCUCCUUCGACGAGUCGAGUAGUUUGGGAAUGCUGCUCUAAAUGGGAGGUAAAUUUCUUCUAAAGCUAAAUAUUGGCCAGAGACCGAUAGCGCACAAGUAGAGUGAUCGAAAGAUGAAAAGCACUUUGAAAAGAGGGUUAAAUAGCACGUGAAAUUGUUGAAAGGGAAGGAUUUGUGACCAGACUUUUUCUGGGCGGAUCAUCCGGGGUUCUCUCCGGUGCACUUUGCCCAGUCAAGGCCAGCAUCGAUUUUCGGCGGCGGAUAAAAGCAGUGGGAAUGUGGCUCCCUACGGGGAGUGUUAUAGCCCAUUGUAUAAUACGCUGCUGGGGAUCGAGGUACGCGCUUCUGCAAGGAUGCUGGCGUAAUGGUUAUCAAUCACCCGUCUUGAAACACGGACCAAGGAGUCGAACAUUUAUGCGAGUGUUUGGGUGUUAAACCCUCACGCGUAAUGAAAGUGAACGGAGGUGAGAGCCCGUACGGGUGCAUCAUCGACCGAUCCUGAAGUUUUCGGAUGGAUUUGAGUAAGAGCAUAACUGUUCGGACCCGAAAGAUGGUGAACUAUGCGUGGAUAGGGUGAAGCCAGAGGAAACUCUGGUGGAGGCUCGCAGCGGUUCUGACGUGCAAAUCGAUCGUCAAAUCUGCGCAUGGGGGCGAAAGACUAAUCGAACCA